CAAAAACAUCGCCUCCUGCAACACAACCAAGUAUAGGAGGUCCAGCCUGCCCAGUGACUACAAGUUCAACGGCCGCGGGAUUUUGACCGUGCAAAGGUAGCGCAAUCACUUGUCUCUUAAAUGGAGACCUGUAUGAAUGGCUAAACGAGGGCUUAACUGUCUCCCCCCUCCAGUCAGUGAAAUUGAUCUAUCCGUGCAGAAGCGGGUAUAAUAAUACAAGACGAGAAGACCCUUUGGAGCUUAAGGUACAAGAAUCAGCCACGUCAAGCAACUUAAUAAAGAGCAAAAACUUUGUGGACAAUGAUUUUUUACCUUCGGUUGGGGCGACCACGGAGGAAAAAAGAGCCUCCAGGUGGACUGGGAAAACAUCCUAAAGCUAAGAGAGACAUCUCUAGGCCGCAGAACAUCUGACCAAUCAUGAUCCGGCUGACAAAGCCGAUCAACGAACCAAGUUACCCUAGGGAUAACAGCGCAAUCCUCUCCCAGAGUCCAUAUCGACGAGGGGGUUUACGACCUCGAU
RNAcentral lists this ribosomal RNA (520 nucleotides) under Gymnocypris dobula. RNAcentral describes it as "partial 16S ribosomal RNA". It matches the Rfam family "Bacterial large subunit ribosomal RNA", at positions 1808 to 2530 of the family's 2925-position model. The record is from RNAcentral. Lineage: Eukaryota; Metazoa; Chordata; Actinopteri; Cypriniformes; Cyprinidae.